Molecule: long non-coding RNA, 1374 nt
Organism: Numida meleagris (helmeted guineafowl)
Lineage: Eukaryota; Metazoa; Chordata; Aves; Galliformes; Numididae
Exons: 4
Source: RefSeq, a predicted model, not a curated record
AAGGGACUCAGCCUGUGGAAAUCUAAGUCUCUGAGGACUCCUAUGUGACCAAAGCCUGGAUUUCUCAUCUCACAGAGUCAGCUUUUGAGCAUUCCUUUCUGGAGCUGAAAGAGCAUAAAGUCAUUACAGAGAGCCUCAUUAAACGUGUUUCAUGAGAGCAGAUUGAUCCCACAGCCCUAGGAUCAGCAUUACAGCAAGGACAGCCCAGAAGCCCCAUCCUACCAGGGCUGAGUAUCACUGGGAGACCCUACUCACCAAGGGACAGACUGACUGCUGUCACCAACACCCAGACAAGGCCUGGAAACUGCAGCUGUGUGUAACAACACCACUGCCAAUUUCUCCACCCAGAACAAGCCAAGAUUCAUUUGUGACCAAAAUUCCUGCACUAAUGCUAACCACCAUCUGAUUAUGUGAUUUUCCUGAGAUGAUGGUGCAAGUCAUUGUCCCAGAAAGGGCUCAGGUGGGCACUCUGCAGCCCCCAUUCCCUGCUGCCUACCUCUGCCUCUGGUUGGUCCAGUGCCCUGUGCAGCCCUGUCACCUGCACUCCGCUCCCUGCUGGAAAAAUGUGCUCGUUUUCAAAGGUGUGUGGCUGAAGCUGUGCUUGGGACAAGUCCGAAUGCUCUCUGCCUGGGGAACAGGAUGGGGCUGAAGGGAAGAAAAGCAGCAGUUAACGCAAUAAGUAGUGAAAAUUAAGCAAACUGUUCAAGUGGUGCUUUAACAAAGGACAGUUUGAGACUGUGAGUUGUGUUUGUUGUUUUUUUUUUUUUUUUUUCUUUACGUUAAGGAAAGAAGGAGAGAGAAGAUUUUUCCACGCAGUCGACAUGUUGCAUGUGCACAUCCAGAGGUCUCACUGAACCAAAAAAACAAUUCACUGACUGAGGAAACUCCUCCCUGUGCUGGUUCAUUCCCUGCGCUGCACAUCUGCUCCUGGAAGCACUUUACAGCCACGCGUCUGGAAAUACAUUGCAAAUAGGCAAUUAGUGUCAGCCCUAUUCUGAAGAUGGAGAAACUCAAGCAGAGUCCGAGCAAGACAGCUAUGAAAGAACAAUGCCAAAAUUAGGCCGUUUGUUUCAUCUUGACAAACUAGAACUACAACCUCCUGAAGACAACCUAAAGCAUUUCAUUUAGCUAGCAGUAACUCGAUGCAGUCCCCACAGAAGGAGAAGCAACAGACAUGGCUCAGGUUGGACAGACAAGAGGACGGCAGCGAGGACAGACUGACUCAUGCUCAAGAAUAGAGGUAGGAAGAGGACUUCCAGUAAUGACAGACUUCAAAGAGGCCACUGCAACUACUCACAUCCCAAAUCCAGCGCUGAGGGAUCCCCCUCCAGCGAAGGGCUGACCGUCACAGGUCUGCAGGCUCCUAUUUUCUGA